AACGCAAAUUGCACUCUCUUCGGAGAGUAUGCCUGUUUGAGGGUCAGUAUUAAUAAAAAUCGGCGUGUUGCUCUUUUGUGAUGCUCCGGAGUUUGGGUCAUCUUAUAAUAAUAUCUUUCAAGUGUUUUUUUAAGAGGCUUAAAAUUGACAUCUUUUUUGCGCAUUUUUUGACGUACAUAAAUUUUUUUAUUUGUUUAUUCUAAUGCCAAAAUCUAUUAGAUGCGACCAUAUCGUAUGGUUCCGUGUCUAUAAAUUUUUUCAUGAUUUGACCUCAAAUCAGGUAGGAACACCCGCUGAACUUAA
RNAcentral lists this unclassified non-coding RNA (303 nucleotides) under uncultured fungus. Its description in RNAcentral is "sequence contains ITS2". The record is from RNAcentral. Lineage: Eukaryota; Fungi.